GGAGUUAUGGGUCAGGAACUUGUCUAACUGCUGUACCAACAGAACAAAAGACAAGUCCUUCCAGUCAAGUGUUUCUAACACCCAAGAUUCCCAUAUUCAUUUUCCAUAUUCACGGAUUCCAGUAAGGGAUUGAUGAAUUGUCUAAAAGCUAUUUACAGGGAAACACCUAUGUUUGAAUGUAUCUGGUGAAUUUGAAAGCAUUUAGAAUUUCUCACAUUCUGGAACACAACAGACAACUCAAUUGAGGUUAUCGUUGGGAAGCCUGCGGGGAGCUCUUAUACAGUUUGCAUCUAAAGACACACACGAUCAGCAAAAUCUUUUUAGUUUUACUGUUCUUAUUGAUCUGCUGCUAUUCAGUGCUGCAGCUAAUUUGCUUGUUAGCAGUAAUUUAAAAAGGUA
Catharus ustulatus (Swainson's thrush) is the source of this 399-nucleotide long non-coding RNA. RefSeq lists it as uncharacterized. The record is from RefSeq and is a predicted model, not a curated record. Lineage: Eukaryota; Metazoa; Chordata; Aves; Passeriformes; Turdidae. The transcript has 3 exons.